UCGCAGUUCAAACAAGUCGUCGAGGAGAAUUGCGAUGUUCCAGCUGUGCAGCAGCGGCUGAUUUACAAGGGACGGAUCUUAAAGGAUGAUCAAACCCUAGAUAGUUAUGGCUUAAUUUGGUUCUGUAGCUGGGUAAGUCCAUGUGAGACCCGACCAUGGCUCAGGUGAGGGGUUCCAAUAACCCUAAGUGGUUUGUUAUAUUAUUAAUUCGAUUGAAUCUAGUAUUGAUCCCAAGUUUGUUGAAUUCGAGUUAUUUGAUUUAAUUUUAUUUGUCGUCGUUUUUUCUUUAUAUUUUGAUAUUCAUCCAUUUUAUAUUUUGUGUUGUUCUGAUAUUGCUAAUUUUGUGGAUGUAGGAACUUCUUGCCUAACAAGGCCAUAUCCAUGGUGCUAAUUUUAUGGAUGUAGGAACUUCUUGCCUAACAAGGCCAUAUCCAUGGUGGUGAUGGAUAGGUCCAGAAAGGGUGGAGAAGAAGAGCUAUUUUGGAUGUUUGAAAAAGAAUUUAAAAAUUUAUCUAUUAAGGCGUCUUCCGAGAAGACGCGAAUUUUGGUGGACAAGACAGUUGAGCUACAAACAAAGAUAGAAAGGAAUAAAGAAGACUUCAUUUUUAGUCUUUUUUGUAAUCGAUGUAUUUUUUUGUAGGGUACUCUUUUUCCCCCUUGAGUUUUUUCCCACAGGGUUUUGCUCUUGAGGGGUUUUAACGAGGCCCUUUUUUUGUGGGUUUUCUCUUCGGACUUGAAAGGCUAUGUUAUCUAAGCGUCCGGAGUAUUUACAUACUUUCGGUUAGAUGA
Molecule: long non-coding RNA, 789 nt
Organism: Daucus carota subsp. sativus
Lineage: Eukaryota; Viridiplantae; Streptophyta; Magnoliopsida; Apiales; Apiaceae
Exons: 2
Source: RefSeq, a predicted model, not a curated record